RNAcentral lists this ribosomal RNA (496 nucleotides) under uncultured bacterium. RNAcentral's name for it is "partial 16S ribosomal RNA". It matches the Rfam family "Bacterial small subunit ribosomal RNA", at positions 28 to 507 of the family's 1533-position model. The record is from RNAcentral.
GACGAACGCUGGCGGCGUGCCUAAUACAUGCAAGUUGAGCGCUGAAGGUUGGUUCUUGUCCCGACUGGAUGAGCAGCGAACGGGUGAGUAACGCGUGGGUAAUCUGCCUUUGAGCGGGGGACAACAUUUGGAAACGAAUGCUAACACCGCAUAAAAACUUUAAACACAAGUUUCAAGUUUGAAAGAUGCAAUUGCAUCACCUAAAGCUGAUCCCGGGUUGGAUUAGCUAGUUGGUGAGGAAAAGGCCCACCAAGGCGAGGAUCAGUAGCCGAUCUGAGCGGAUGAUCGCCACCAGGGGAACUGAGACACGCCCAAGACUCCUAGGGGGGGCACAAGAGGGGAAUAUUGGAAAAUGGGGGAAAGCCUGCCGCAGACAUGCGGCGGGUGAGAAGAAGGUUUUCGGAUUGUAAAGCAGUUUAAGUGGGGAGGAAGGGGAGUAAGUUAAAACCUUGCUGAUUUGACGUUACCAACAGAAAAAGCACCGGCUAACUACGUG